AUGGGGGCAACCCUGAUCCAGCAAUGCCGCGUGGGUGAUGAAGGCCUUCGGGUUGUAAAGCCCUUUCGGCGGGGAAGAUGAUGACGGUACCCGCAGAAGAAGCCCCGGCUAACUUCGUGCCAGCAGCCGCGGUAAUACGAAGGGGGCUAGCGUUGUUCGGAAUUACUGGGCGUAAAGGGCGCGUAGGCUGUGCUGCAAGUCAGGCGUGAAAGGCCCGGGCUCAACCUGGGAACUGCGCAUGAUACUGCGGCGCUUGAAGGCGGGAGAGGAUGGCGGAAUUCCCAGUGUAGAGGUGAAAUUCGUAGAUAUUGGGAAGAACACCGGUGGCGAAGGCGGCCAUCUGGCCCGUGAUUGACGCUGAGGCGCGAAAGCGUGGGGAGCAAACAGGAUUAGAUACCCUGGUAGUCCACGCUGUAAACGAUGAGUGCUAGACGUCGGGGAGCUUGCUCUUCGGUGUCGCCGCUAACGCAUUAAGCACUCCGCCUGGGGAGUAC
RNAcentral lists this ribosomal RNA (494 nucleotides) under uncultured bacterium. Its description in RNAcentral is "bacterial SSU rRNA". It matches the Rfam family "Bacterial small subunit ribosomal RNA", at positions 371 to 883 of the family's 1533-position model. The record is from RNAcentral.